Molecule: long non-coding RNA, 1859 nt
Organism: Carassius auratus (goldfish)
Lineage: Eukaryota; Metazoa; Chordata; Actinopteri; Cypriniformes; Cyprinidae
Source: Ensembl
AUGCAGUUUAAUAACUGCUUUUGUUCAUUUCAGGUGCUGAAACUUGAGGCUAUCGGAUACAAGCCAAUUUUAUUUAUUGGGAAACAGGACAAAAGUGCUUCAAAUAAGUGGGUGGCAGAUAUUAUCACGCAUCUGCACCCCACUCCUGUCACCAAAGUGUUUUUGGAGAAGAUGCGGAGGGCUUAUGAGUUUAUCUUAACAAAAGCAACCUCCACAGCCCAGCAGCCGGAGAGCGUCCCCGCGUCACCAAGCAACCUGAAACUGUAUUUGUUCUCAAUCUUGUUCCUGUGCCUUGCUCGCUCUCUCCAACCUCUCUCUGUCCUCCUUCCUCUGCUACUUCUACAACUGUUCUUCCCUCACUUUCUUCCCCUCUUCCACCUCCACUGUGGCAGAGGAAAAGAAGGUUAAACACCUUUACCACGUCAAACUCUACCACCCCUGUCUCUCCUCCAUAUCCAUCUGCCUCUUCCAUUUCCAAGCCUUUGAGUCAGGAGGUGCCACUGGUAAAGAACAGAAGAAAAGGUAACUUUUUGCAUGGUACAACUUACUCCACACUAUUAAUAAAAUUGCUCCCAGUCAAAGCUGACUUCAUCAUUGAUAGCCAGUUCACAGUAUUUUGUUAUUUACAUAUUUAUUUAGCUCUGUGUUAGUGGCCAAUGUCCAAGGGCGUUGGGAAACCAAUCCUGUACAUUUUGCUUGAUUGACAAAAACAGGAACAAAUUCACUUUGACACGAAUGGAAAAGACUGCAUAUCUCCUCACAUGUGAAUUUAUAAAUAUGGGCUUGUGUGAUUCAGCUAUAAAGCAUGAUGGCAUUCGUGGCUUAAAAAACUUGUCUUUUCAUUAUUUCAGGUUGUCAAAAAUGUAGUAGGCAGAAGGUUUUCCUUUUUGAUAAAAUAACUGGGGAACGAAUAAAUGAGGUAAAAUGUCUUAUUAGGCCAUGUGCUGGCCUUUCAAAGGUAAUAUCCAGUGAUUGCUUAAACAGUUAAAGUUAAAUUAUUACUUGUGUUUGUUUGUGUUUGUGUAGGGGAAAGCUGAAUUGAAAGUUCACUGGUUGCCUUGCACUGUGUGGUAAGUCAUGUUUUAUUUCCUAGUUAAUUCCAUUUCAAUGCAAUGGAUUAGUCCAUUCCAUGACCCAAUACAAUCAAACACACCUGAACAAGAUCAUCAAGGUCUGAAAGGUUGCUAGAAAGCUACAGGCAGGUGAGUUUUUAUGAGGGUUGGAGCUAAACUCUGCAGGACUGAGAGCUACAACAACCAUCAUGUUAACACAGCGCACACAACACCUCUUUAGCACUUUAUUUCUCUCAACAUUAGGACAGGAGAGCUGUCAGUCAAUAAAUGUGAAAAAGUAACUUAGAUUUUUUGGUUAUAAGCUCCCAGAUCUUGGCAGUAAGUAAUCCUCUGAGGUAGCCUGUAGAAAAACUGGUGUGAGGUCGACGGUCAGUACUCUGAUUUAAAUAGCGAUGAGCUAGAGGCAUUGGGAAGAGCUAGAUCUGCAAUCCUGAGGAUCAGACAGAAAAAACAAAUAAAGGGAUUGGUGCGGGUGCCAUUCACAUAAAAAAAGAGUUAUAGUAUGUAAAGUGUGUUUGUGUGUACGCUCUUGUAUACAUGGUUGUAUACAAGGACACAAAUGUGUGUAAGGACAUGGGUAUUACAAUAUAAACAUGGUUUAUGAGGACACACUAAACAGUGUUUUUUUUUUUUUUUUUAUUAAAAAAUGCUGACAGUUUCCUGUGAUGGGUAGGUUUAAGCCAGGCACACACUUAAGGAUUGUAAGGCUUGUUAUGACUGUAAUUUAAUACUUACGACUGAUCAUGCCCAAGUGUGUCAACUCAUAGCCAGUUGCGUUUAGUCAGU